RNAcentral lists this ribosomal RNA (460 nucleotides) under uncultured bacterium. RNAcentral's name for it is "partial 16S ribosomal RNA". It matches the Rfam family "Bacterial small subunit ribosomal RNA", at positions 338 to 795 of the family's 1533-position model. The record is from RNAcentral.
CCUACGUGUGGCAGCAGUGAGGAAUAUUGGUCAAUGGACGAGAGUCUGAACCAGCCAAGUAGCGUGAAGGAUGACUGCCCUAUGGGUUGUAAACUUCUUUUAUAUGGGAAUAAAAUGUUCCACGUGUGGGAUUUUGCAUGUACUUUAUGAAUAAGGAUCGGCUAACUCCGUGCCAGCAGCCGCGGUAAUACGGAGGAUCCGAGCGUUAUCCGGAUUUAUUGGGUUUAAAGGGAGCGUAGAUGGGUUGUUAAGUCAGUUGUGAAAGUUUGCGGCUCAACCGUAAAAUUGCAAUUGAUACUGGCAGUCUUGAGUACAGUUGAGGUAGGCGGAAUUCGUGGUGUAGCGGUGAAAUGCUUAGAUAUCACGAAGAACCCCGAUUGCGAAGGCAGCUUACUAAACUGUGACUGACAUUGAUGCUCGAAAGUGUGGGUAUCAAACAGGAUUAGAUACCCGUGUAGUC